GGGUGAGUAACACGUGGGUGAUCUGCCCUGCACUCUGGGAUAAGCUUGGGAAACUGGGUCUAAUACCGGAUAUGACCACAGCAUGCAUGUGUUGUGGUGGAAAGAUUUAUCGGUGCAGGAUGGGCCCGCGGCCUAUCAGCUUGUUGGUGGGGUAAUGGCCUACCAAGGCGACGACGGGUAGCCGACCUGAGAGGGUGACCGGCCACACUGGGACUGAGACACGGCCCAGACUCCUACGGGAGGCAGCAGUGGGGAAUAUUGCACAAUGGGCGGAAGCCUGAUGCAGCGACGCCGCGUGAGGGAUGAAGGCCUUCGGGUUGUAAACCUCUUUCAGCAGGGACGAAGCGUGAGUGACGGUACCUGCAGAAGAAGCACCGGCUAACUACGUGCCAGCAGCCGCGGUAAUACGUAGGGUGCGAGCGUUGUCCGGAAUUACUGGGCGUAAAGAGUUCGUAGGCGGUUUGUCGCGUCGUUUGUGAAAACCCGGGGCUCAACUUCGGGCUUGCAGGCGAUACGGGCAGACUUGAGUGUUUCAGGGGAGACUGGAAUUCCUGGUGUAGCGGUGAAAUGCGCAGAUAUCAGGAGGAACACCGGUGGCGAAGGCGGGUCUCUGGGAAACAACUGACGCUGAGGAACGAAAGCGUGGGUAGCAAACAGGAUUAGAUACCCUGGUAGUCCACGCCGUAAACGGUGGGCGCUAGGUGUGGGUUCCUUCCACGGGAUCUGUGCCGUAGCUAACGCAUUAAGCGCCCCGCCUGGGGAGUACGGCCGCNAGGCUAAACUCAAAGGAAUUGACGGGGGCCCGCACAAGCGGCGGAGCAUGUGGAUUAAUUCGAUGCAACGCGA
This 846-nucleotide ribosomal RNA is filed under the name Rhodococcus sp. CTLA03. Its description in RNAcentral is "bacterial SSU rRNA". It matches the Rfam family "Bacterial small subunit ribosomal RNA", at positions 104 to 964 of the family's 1533-position model. Lineage: Bacteria; Bacillati; Actinomycetota; Actinomycetes; Mycobacteriales; Nocardiaceae. The record is from RNAcentral.